RNAcentral lists this transfer RNA (83 nucleotides) under Patescibacteria group bacterium. Its description in RNAcentral is "tRNA-Leu". It matches the Rfam family "tRNA". From Rfam's summary of the family: Transfer RNA (tRNA) molecules are approximately 80 nucleotides in length. RNAcentral also lists the same sequence under 1 other name. The record is from RNAcentral.
GCCUGGAUGGCGGAACUGGUAGACGCAAGGGACUUAAAAUCCCUCGCCCAAAAGGCGUGGGGGUUCGAAUCCCCCUCUAGGCA